GCAAGUCGAACGAGAAAGGGAUUGCUUGCAAUCCUGAGUAGAGUGGCGCACGGGUGAGUAACACGUAGAUAAUCUACCUUCAAGCCCGGAAUAACUAUCCGAAAGGAUAGCUAAUACCGGAUGAAGUAUUUUAGCAAAAGUUAAAAUAUGAAAGAUUGCCUCUUCUUGAAAGCAAUUGUUUGGAGACGAGUUUGCGGACCAUUAGUUUGUUGGUGGGGUAACGGCCUACCAAGACUACGAUGGUUAGCUGGUCUGAGAGGAUGAUC
RNAcentral lists this ribosomal RNA (266 nucleotides) under uncultured bacterium. RNAcentral's name for it is "partial 16S ribosomal RNA". It matches the Rfam family "Bacterial small subunit ribosomal RNA", at positions 57 to 305 of the family's 1533-position model. The record is from RNAcentral.